AUACGUAGGGGGCGAGCGUUGUCCGGAAUGAUUGGGCGUAAAGGGCGCGUAGGCGGCGCGGUAAGUCUGGAGUGAAAGUCCUGCUUUCAAGGUGGGAAUUGCUUUGGAUACUGCCGCGCUUGAGUGCAGGAGAGGUUAUCGGAAUUCCCGGUGUAGCGGUGAAAUGCGUAGAGAUCGGGAGGAACACCAGUGGCGAAGGCGGGUAACUGGACUGCAACUGACGCUGAGGCGCGAAAGUGUGGGGGGCAAACAUGAUUAGAUACCCUGGUAGUCCACACUGUAAACGAUGAAUGCUAGGUGUAAGAGGUAUCGACCCCUUUUGUGCCGGAGUCAACACAAUAAGCAUUCCGCCUGGGGAGUACGGCCGCAAGGUUGAAACUCAAAUGAAUUGGCGGGG
Molecule: ribosomal RNA, 397 nt
Filed under: uncultured bacterium
Lineage: Bacteria
Description: partial 16S ribosomal RNA
Rfam family: Bacterial small subunit ribosomal RNA
Source: RNAcentral